GACGUAGGGGGCCAGCGUUGCUCGGAAUAACUGGGCGUAAAGGGUCUGUAGGCGGUGUGGCAAGUCGGGAGUGAAAUCUCUGGGCUUAACUCAGGGGCUGCUUCCGAAACUGCCGUGCUGGAGUGCGAGAGAGGUGAGUGGAAUUGCAGGUGUAGCGGUGAAAUGCGUAGAUAUCUGCAGGAACACCCGUGGCGAAGGCGGCUCACUGGAUCGCAACUGACGCUGAGAGACGAAAGCUAGGGGAGCAAACAGG
This 253-nucleotide unclassified non-coding RNA is filed under the name uncultured Terriglobia bacterium. Its description in RNAcentral is "uncultured Acidobacteriia bacterium contains 16S-23S intergenic spacer region". It matches the Rfam family "Bacterial small subunit ribosomal RNA", at positions 524 to 776 of the family's 1533-position model. The record is from RNAcentral. Lineage: Bacteria; Pseudomonadati; Acidobacteriota; Terriglobia.